GUCUGUCCCACGACCGGAACGUCACUACUUUUUGCAAAAUAUCUCAAAAUAAAUAAAUACCUUGGACUUCAACCUAUAUCCGAUUGGUAGAUUGAUUUUUUUCCAAACUUCCUGCAUUUAUCCGAACCCUCGAGGUCAACCAGUGUAUACACACGGCGGCAAAUUCAAAGUCUACGGGGAUUUAACAUGGUAAACUCGUCCAUUAACGUCUAGUUUACGGGGCCGGGAACCAGUUUUCGAAGGGAGUAGUCGUCCUUUGCAAAAUAAAUUUCCGAAAAAUCUUUAAAAAUUAAAGGAAUUAAUUUAAAUUGUUUUCACUGAUAAUAUAACUUUCCCUUUGAAUUAGAAUAAAUUUUAACAGCAAUUAACAAGUUUAAUUAUAAACUGCGAGAAAAUAGUCCGAAUCUAACGAAGUACAACUUGUGGAUAAUGGAUGUUGACAUGAUGAUGCAAGCUCGCCAGUGUUUAAAACCAAUAUUAAGCUUGAUUUAGACACUGCAGUAUAAAGAAAGAAGCAGACCAGAAAUCUUAGGCGAAGGCAAAGAUGAUAUGCAUAACAAAAGUAGUUGCAUAAUUCACUAGAGUUCGAAGUUAUGAUGACCAUGCAGAGUCGAGAUAUUGUAACAAAGACAUGCCUGCAUGAAGAAGACAGUUCACUCAAUUUUUUUAAGAAUAAUUUGUCAGAUUUAAUUUCAUCUUAUGUUGGACAAAACAAUCAGAACAUUCUUCUGGAUCACAGCUAGCACAAAGUAUUGACAAAACCAAAGAUGACCUGGUAGUCUGCCAAUGGAGUGAUUACUGGAUGAUCUAGACAACACCAUUUCCACAGAAAUUUUAGGAUUGAGACUUGAUCUCCAUCUUCAUUCAUAGAUGACUGAUGUCGACAUUUCCUCACUUCUGUUUGAAGUCUUUUCAACAGCAUAGACUCCACACUCAAGCAUCAGUGGGCGCUGGACUUUUAUAAACAUUUUUUCCUAUAAACAAAUAAUUUAUCUUGUAAAAUAUUUUUAAAUUUUACUUAACAAAACAAUGAAAACAGUUCAAACAAACUGGUGUAUCCUAUAAUCUAAAGCUGUUUUAUGUUUGAAGCAAUUUAUAAUUUUAAAGACUUAUUAAAAAUCUGGUAAGAUACUUAGAUCCUAAGAUUCUAGUCAAAUUAUUUUAUAUAUAUAAAAUCUGUCUUUAUUUCUUAAAUAUAAAUUUUAUUCUUAAUUCACACAAAUUAAACAUAUUUGAUUUGAAAUAAGAGGGCGAGCCGAGACCGUCCCUUGGCAACGGGCCGAGACAGAGAUAUCUCAGCCCUGAGGGCGAGACAGCCCUACUUCCUAUAUGCAGCUUCGCCUAGUCCAAACAGGGCUGAUACACUACUGAUAUAGUAUAGGCAUAUACAUGUUUGUGCAUUAGGGAAUCGUCAAUGAAUAAACAUACUUUGAAAAUUUACAAAUACUUGAGAAAAAAAUUUUGCUGGGACUGAAAACCAAACUCGAGCA
Molecule: long non-coding RNA, 1490 nt
Organism: Saccostrea cuccullata (small rock oyster)
Lineage: Eukaryota; Metazoa; Mollusca; Bivalvia; Ostreida; Ostreidae
Exons: 4
Source: RefSeq, a predicted model, not a curated record